GCCUGGCGUGGUGGCACAUGCCUAUGGUCCCAGGUACUUGGGAGGCUGAGGCUGGAGGAUCGCUUGAGUCCAGGAGUUCUGGGCUGUAGUGCGCUGUGCUGAUCGGAUGUCCGCACUAAGUUCGGCAUCAAUAUGGUGACCUCCCGGGAGUGGGGGACCACCACGUUGCCUAAGGAGGGGUGAACCGGUCCAGGUUGGAAACAGAGCAGGUCAAAACUCCUGUGCUGAUCAGUAGUGGGAUCGCGCCUGUGAAUAGCCACUGCACUCCAGCCUGGGCAACAUAGCGAGACCCCGUAUCU
This 299-nucleotide signal recognition particle RNA is filed under the name Cebus imitator (Panamanian white-faced capuchin). RNAcentral's name for it is "Metazoan signal recognition particle RNA (ENSCCAG00000006122.1)". It matches the Rfam family "Metazoan signal recognition particle RNA". From Rfam's summary of the family: The signal recognition particle (SRP) is a universally conserved ribonucleoprotein. The record is from RNAcentral. Lineage: Eukaryota; Metazoa; Chordata; Mammalia; Primates; Cebidae.